Molecule: non-coding RNA, 445 nt
Organism: Vicugna pacos (alpaca)
Lineage: Eukaryota; Metazoa; Chordata; Mammalia; Artiodactyla; Camelidae
Source: RefSeq, a predicted model, not a curated record
AGGGAGGGAAGGAGGGAAGAAGGAAGGAAGGAAGGAAGGAAGAAAGGUGCCAUGUAGCUCAGGCUGACAACCAGGACGUGCGAACGCAGUGCCCUUCCAAGUGGAGGUAAAGUCCCUACAAAAAUAAUCUGUCUGCUUGCAGCCCAGUUCUUUCCAGAGUUCCCACCCCCCACCCCAACUCCCUUUUAUAUAAACUUCCCAGAGGGACACCUUUGGUGUCCUGGGAAAGCCCCUUUCCUAUGCCAAAUGCAGCUUCUCUGAUUGCUCUUACGAUACUGUUUUCAAAGCUGACAUUUCUGUACAUAGUUACCCUUUCUUUCCUCCCCUUUUGCCAGCUUUUAGUCCAAUAUGCCAAUUGUCCUACACUUCCAUGACUUCAGACCUUAAACAUUUUAACCAACAGUGGAGAAUUCUGUAACACACUUUCUGCAAAACCCGGUCUAUA